This 433-nucleotide ribosomal RNA is filed under the name uncultured bacterium. Its description in RNAcentral is "partial 16S ribosomal RNA". It matches the Rfam family "Bacterial small subunit ribosomal RNA", at positions 29 to 507 of the family's 1533-position model. The record is from RNAcentral.
AACGAACGCUGGCGGCAUGCCUAACACAUGCAAGUCGAACGAGACCUUCGGGUCUAGUGGCGCACGGGUGCGUAACGCGUGGGAACCUGCCCUUAGGUUCGGAAUAACUCCCCGAAAGGGGUGCUAAUACCGGAUAAUGUCUUCGGACUAAAGAUUUAUCGCCUUUGGAUGGGCCCGCGUUGGAUUAGCUAGUUGGUAGGGUAAAAGCCUACCAAGGCGACGAUCCAUAGCUGGUCUGAGAGGAUGAUCAGCCACACUGGGACUGAGACACGGCCCAGACUCCUACGGGAGGCAGCAGUGGGGAAUAUUGGACAAUGGGCGAAAGCCUGAUCCAGCAAUGCCGCGUGAGUGAUGAAGGCCUUAGGGUUGUAAAGCUCUUUUACCCGGGAUGAUAAUGACAGUACCGGGAGAAUAAGCUCCGGCUAACUCCGUG